This 497-nucleotide ribosomal RNA is filed under the name uncultured bacterium. Its description in RNAcentral is "partial 16S ribosomal RNA". It matches the Rfam family "Bacterial small subunit ribosomal RNA", at positions 28 to 507 of the family's 1533-position model. The record is from RNAcentral.
GAUGAACGCUGGCGGCGUGCCUAAUACAUGCAAGUCGAGCGAAUGGACGAGAAGCUUGCUUCUCUGAUGUUAGCGGCGGACGGGUGAGUAACACGUGGAUAACCUACCUAUAAGACUGGGAUAACUUCGGGAAACCGGAGCUAAUACCGGAUAAUAUUUUGAACCGCAUGGUUCAAAAGUGAAAGACGGUCUUGCUGUCACUUAUAGAUGGAUCCGCGCUGCAUUAGCUAGUUGGUAAGGUAACGGCUUACCAAGGCAACGAUGCAUAGCCGACCUGAGAGGGUGAUCGGCCACACUGGACCUGAGACACGGUCCAGACUCCUACGGGAGGCAGCAGUAGGGAAUCUUCCGCAAUGGGCGAAAGCCUGACGGAGCAACGCCGCGUGAGUGAUGAAGGUCUUCGGAUCGUAAAACUCUGUUAUUAGGGAAGAACAUAUGUGUAAGUAACUGUGCACAUCUUGACGGUACCUAAUCAGAAAGCCACGGCUAACUACGUG